AGUUUUUAUCGGUCUCCUGCGACAACACGUCGCUGUUCGCAUCUUUAAAUCCAACGGACGGAAACAGGAAGUGAUGUCAGACGGAAAAAGGCGAAAUGGGCCUGUUUGUUUCCAGUGUGGCGGUUUCCGUUCUCCCGUGUUUUGUGUCUCAGUCUUCUCGCCUGGGGGUGAAGGCAGAGAGACUGUGAUUGGUUGGCCUCACAUUGCAGAGGUGUGAUUGGCUGACUGCGCUCAACCACAGCAUUUUGGUUGGUUUGGAAAUAAUUUCUCAGGACGCUCGUUCGACCCGUCGGGCCGGGUAGUUUGGAUCUCCAGCUGUUCCCCAGCAGCUGCCGCCUCCAUGAGAACCGAUGCAAGUUCCUGUGAGGCAGGACGGCGCAUCAACGCUUCCAAAAAUGCCCCAAAACCCUGAACUUCCUGUCGUCUGCUGACAUCACCGGCUGUUCAGGGCCUCGGCCAGCUGAUCUGACUCUACAGUACAUGACUGCACACGGAAACACCUGGCCAGGUUAUUUCAUCAGAGUUAGCUUGUGCUGCUAGCACUGACCUGGCUAACACCUCCCUCAGAGCUGUGAGGGAGGUUCUGGUCUCCGAGUCCUUGGAGCUCGAUGCUAAAGAGAGCGAGUCACGUGACUCCUUCCUCCAGCUUGUCCUGAGCAGGUGUGUGAAGAUGGCCGCCUCCUUUUUGGUAUUUUGGCCUGUGCCAAAGAAACGGCCGAGGUCAGAGACACGAGUUCCCUCACAGUCCUCUGUCUCUGCCAUCGAAGUUUUUAAAUAGUGACGAGCAGAAAGGAGUUCUGGGUGUUUAUCCUCAGGACAGCCCUGUGAGUGUAGGACUGAACGCUCGCUGUGCUGACUGUGACGGCGAGCAGAGCUGUGAUCCCAGCGAAUCUUCGUUUAAACAUGACUAAGGCGGGAAAAGAGCAGAGCUGCUAACGAAUCGAUCAGACACGCCGUGAACGAGCGAGGUACUGUCACUGGUCUUGGGACCCGCCCCCUCUGUCGACUUUGCUGCCAAUCGACGGGCGCAUUACUUAAACGUCUGAUUUUUUUUUCUGGGGGGGGGGAGGGGGUGAUCGUCAUGGCAACAGUGACCCGUACUCAGGGUAAGCUAGCCCUGCUUUACAUGGCAGUUAGGAUUAGGAAAGCUAGCUGUGCGUUAUCAGGCUGUUGACCUGCACAGCAAACCGCCUCGCCGUGUCAGCUGUGAUCUGAUUGGCUAACAGCUCUGCUGCCACUUUACGCUGAAGUAAAACAGCCGACCCAGAAUGCACGGUUCCAAAUGUUACAACAUCUGGAGCUGCAGCUGGAGUCCUACACUCACUGAAAGUCAUGAGCACCGUUCACUUCCUGUGGCAUGGGCCGACAGAGGCGGUCAGCUCCACCUACGCCAUCUGCUCCACCUGUGGGAGGAGCGAGCUGUGAGUCUCUAAACAGGAAGAGAAGCGACUGAUCUUCAUCGGCGUGACUGUAGGAGGAGCAGUUUAACAUGUAUAAAUACACGUGUACAUACAUAUAUGAACAGGAAGGAGGAAGUGACAUCUAACAAAAUAAAAGCCUCUUCCUGGUUCCGGUCCUUCCUUCAGUAGAGGCGACUGAUGGAGGUUCCUGGUUUUACUGUGGUGCUUUAUAAAGAGAACCUCCACCUGCUCCGUCUGCCUGGAGACUGACAGGAAAUGACCUGUGUGUGUGUGUGUGUGUGUGUGUGUGUGUGUGUGUGUGUGUGUGUGUGUGUGUGUGUGUCGUCGCUGUAUGAAUGUAUCUGAGCCGGUGACUCAGGCUCACACUCCAAUAAACUGUAGAAAAUGAAACUUUUUGUAAAUGAAACAAUAAAAAUGUGACAGUAUU
Molecule: long non-coding RNA, 1848 nt
Organism: Astatotilapia calliptera (eastern happy)
Lineage: Eukaryota; Metazoa; Chordata; Actinopteri; Cichliformes; Cichlidae
Source: Ensembl